Non-coding RNA from Ixodes scapularis (black-legged tick), 82 nucleotides. NCBI's taxonomy places the organism in Eukaryota, Metazoa, Arthropoda, Arachnida, Ixodida, Ixodidae. The record is from Rfam.
GCAGUCGUAGCCGAGUGGUUAAGGCGAUGAACUAGAAAUCCGCUGGGGUCUCCCCACCUAGGUUCGAAUCCUGUACACUGCG